Molecule: non-coding RNA, 215 nt
Filed under: Myxococcus stipitatus
Lineage: Bacteria; Pseudomonadati; Myxococcota; Myxococcia; Myxococcales; Myxococcaceae
Source: RNAcentral
AUCCCGGCCCGCGUCUUUGGUGCCGUCGUGAGGUCACGGCGGCUCUAGGGAACCCGGUGCGAAUCCGGGACUGCCCCGCAGCGGUAUGCAGGAACGACCGCCGUCAUGUGAAGCACUGGCCCUCCACGGGGCUGGGAAGCGACGGCCAGUAGAAGGGUGCCUGGAAGGCACCCGCGCCUGUGAGUCCGAAAACCUGCCAAGGACCCGUGCCUCCG